UACAGAGGUCCCGAGCGUUGUUCGGAUUCACUGGCCGUAAAGGGUGCGUAGGUGGUGAGGUAAGUCGGAUGUGAAAUCUCCGGGCUCAACCCGGAAAUGGCAUUGGAAACUACCUUGCUGGAGGAUUUGAGGGGGGAUUGGAAUACUUGGUGUAGCAGUGAAAUGCGUAGAUAUCAAGUGGAACACCAGUGGCGAAGGCGAAUCCCUGGAAAAUACCUGACACUGAGGCACGAAAGCUAGGGGAGCAAACAGG
Molecule: ribosomal RNA, 253 nt
Filed under: uncultured bacterium
Lineage: Bacteria
Description: partial 16S ribosomal RNA
Rfam family: Bacterial small subunit ribosomal RNA
Source: RNAcentral